RNAcentral lists this ribosomal RNA (1035 nucleotides) under uncultured Cryobacterium sp. RNAcentral's name for it is "bacterial SSU rRNA". It matches the Rfam family "Bacterial small subunit ribosomal RNA", at positions 361 to 1394 of the family's 1533-position model. Lineage: Bacteria; Bacillati; Actinomycetota; Actinomycetes; Micrococcales; Microbacteriaceae. The record is from RNAcentral.
AUAUUGCACAAUGAGCGCAAGCCUGAUGCAGCAACGCCGCGUGAGGGACGAAGGCCUUCGGGUUGUAAACCUCUUUUAGUAGGGAAGAAGCGACUGGGUUUUCCUGGGAGUGACGGUACCUGCAGGAAAAGCACCGGCUAACUACGUGCCAGCAGCCGCGGUAAUACGUAGGGUGCAAGCGUUGUCCGGAAUUAUUGGGCGUAAAGAGCUCGUAGGCGGUUUGUCGCGUCUGCUGUGAAAACCCGAGGCUCAACCUCGGGCCUGCAGUGGGUACGGGCAGACUAGAGUGCGGUAGGGGAGAUUGGAAUUCCUGGUGUAGCGGUGGAAUGCGCAGAUAUCAGGAGGAACACCAAUGGCGAAGGCAGAUCUCUGGGCCGUAACUGACGCUGAGGAGCGAAAGCAUGGGGAGCGAACAGGAUUAGAUACCCUGGUAGUCCAUGCCGUAAACGUUGGGAACUAGGUGUGGGGACCAUUCCACGGUCUCCGUGUCGCAGCUAACGCAUUAAGUUCCCCGCCUGGGGAGUACGGCCGCAAGGCUAAAACUCAAAGGAAUUGACGGGGGCCCGCACAAGCGGCGGAGCAUGCGGAUUAAUUCGAUGCAACGCGAAGAACCUUACCAAGGCUUGACAUAUACCGGAAACGGCUGGAAACAGUCGCCCCGCAAGGUCGGUAUACAGGUGGUGCAUGGUUGUCGUCAGCUCGUGUCGUGAGAUGUUGGGUUAAGUCCCGCAACGAGCGCAACCCUCGUCCUAUGUUGCCAGCACGUAAUGGUGGGAACUCAUGGGAUACUGCCGGGGUCAACUCGGAGGAAGGUGGGGAUGACGUCAAAUCAUCAUGCCCCUUAUGUCUUGGGCUUCACGCAUGCUACAAUGGCCGGUACAAAGGGCUGCGAUACCGCAAGGUGGAGCGAAUCCCAAAAAGCCGGUCUCAGUUCGGAUUGAGGUCUGCAACUCGACCUCAUGAAGUCGGAGUCGCUAGUAAUCGCAGAUCAGCAACGCUGCGGUGAAUACGUUCCCGGGCCUUGUACACACCGCC